GGAUCCAGACUUUGAUUAUGGCUCAGGAUGAACGCUAGCUACAGGCUUAACACAUGCAAGUCGAGGGGAAACGACAUCGAAAGCUUGCUUUUGAUGGGCGUCGACCGGCGCACGGGUGAGUAACGCGUAUCCAACCUGCCCACCACUUGGGGAUAACCUUGCGAAAGUAAGACUAAUACCCAACGACGUCUCUAGAAGACAUCUGAAGGAGAUUAAAGAUUUAUCGGUGAUGGAUGGGGACGCGUCUGAUUAGCUUGUUGGCGGGGUAACGGCCCACCAAGGCAACGAUCAGUAGGGGUUCUGAGAGGAAGGUCCCCCACAUUGGAACUGAGACACGGUCCAAACUCCUACGGGAGGCAGCAGUGAGGAAUAUUGGUCAAUGGGCGAGAGCCUGAACCAGCCAAGUAGCGUGCAGGAUGACGGCCCUAUGGGUUGUAAACUGCUUUUAUAAGGGAAUAAAGUGAGUCUCGUGAGACUUUUUGCAUGUACCUUAUGAAUAAGGACCGGCUAAUUCCGUGCCAGCAGCCGCGGUAAUACGGAAGGUCCGGGCGUUAUCCGGAUUUAUUGGGUUUAAAGGGAGCGUAGGCCGGAGAUUAAGCGUGUUGUGAAAUGUAGAUGCUCAACAUCUGAACUGCAGCGCGAACUGGUUUCCUUGAGUACGCACAAAGUGGGCGGAAUUCGUGGUGUAGCGGUGAAAUGCUUAGAUAUCACGAAGAACUCCGAUUGCGAAGGCAGCUCACUGGAGCGCAACUGACGCUGAAGCUCGAAAGUGCGGGUAUCGAACAGGAUUAGAUACCCUGGUAGUCCGCACGGUAAACGAUGGAUGCCCGCUGUUGGUCUGAAUAGGUCAGCGGCCAAGCGAAAGCAUUAAGCAUCCCACCUGGGGAGUACGCCGGCAACGGUGCAACUCAAAGGAAUUGACGG
Molecule: ribosomal RNA, 924 nt
Filed under: uncultured bacterium
Lineage: Bacteria
Also listed under: 1 other name
Description: bacterial SSU rRNA
Rfam family: Bacterial small subunit ribosomal RNA
Source: RNAcentral